AGGGAAUACAGUAGAACAGGGUUCUCUAUUACAUAAUGGUGGCAGGGAAUAUGUGUUGACAUCGGAACAUCCUCUUGGGCCUCUGGUGGUCUUCCAUGCCUAGCAUCAUAGGGAAAAAACAGCUGGAGCAAUUGAAGUUAGGGUUAAGGAUCUCAAGGGCUUGGACUUCUCAGAGAUCAAGAUCUGGAUCACUCCAUCCGGCAAGCAACGAAGACCAGAUGAAAUGCUGCUUGAAGGGCUGGCAUAUCUAGAAUUGGUGGUAGAAAUAUCUUUGCUUAAAAGUUUGCUCAAGAAACACCAUGCAUAUUUGACAUCAUAAGGAAAGAAAUGAGCAGAACCAUACAUCCAACUUACAUUGCAAUUACGGCAGAGGAAGAGAGAUGGAGAAGUUAAAAUGAAACAUUUCAAGGAUGAAUGGGCACUGAAAAUUGGUAAAGUGGCAGAAAAGUCCAAGCUUGAAGAAUGAAAAAGUAAAUGUAUGGAGAAAAAGGAGUUUGGAAAACAGGAAAAAAAAAAAGAUAUUUUGCAGAAACAUCUGUUUGCUGUUGCUAAAAAUUUUAGCAUUUAAAUGUUCUCAUUUGGGCUCUGAAGUUAGCACUUCCUUGAAGUAGUUCACACCUUUGCUAUUGCUCCUGUUCAGCUACAGAUCAUUUUAUGCAAGGCUGAUUUUAACAAGAAAAUGGUGCAUUAAUUUA
Long non-coding RNA from Pan troglodytes (chimpanzee), 695 nucleotides. RefSeq lists it as uncharacterized. The record is from RefSeq and is a predicted model, not a curated record. The transcript is spliced from 3 exons. NCBI's taxonomy places the organism in Eukaryota, Metazoa, Chordata, Mammalia, Primates, Hominidae.